Eubacterium sp. is the source of this 71-nucleotide non-coding RNA. The record is from Rfam. Lineage: Bacteria; Bacillati; Bacillota; Clostridia; Eubacteriales; Eubacteriaceae.
AAGCGCCGUAUACGCGAACCGUACGUACGGUGCUGUGAGAGGACGGGGGAAAACUCCCCCUCCUACUCGAU